Molecule: transfer RNA, 72 nt
Filed under: Flammeovirgaceae bacterium
Lineage: Bacteria; Pseudomonadati; Bacteroidota; Cytophagia; Cytophagales; Flammeovirgaceae
Description: tRNA-Thr
Rfam family: tRNA
About the family: Transfer RNA (tRNA) molecules are approximately 80 nucleotides in length. Their secondary structure includes four short double-helical elements and three loops (D, anti-codon, and T loops).
Source: RNAcentral
GCCUCCUUAGCUCAGCUGGAGAGCAACUGACUUGUAAUCAGUAGGUCGCUGGUUCGAUUCCGGCAGGGGGCU